GACGAACGCUGGCGGCGUGCCUAAUACAUGCAAGUAGAACGCUGAAGAGAGGAGCUUGCUCUUCUUGGAUGAGUUGCGAACGGGUGAGUAACGCGUAGGUAACCUGCCUUGUAGCGGGGGAUAACUAUUGGAAACGAUAGCUAAUACCGCAUAACAAUGGAUGACACAUGUCAUUUAUUUGAAAGGGGCAAUUGCUCCACUACAAGAUGGACCUGCGUUGUAUUAGCUAGUAGGUGGGGUAAUGGCUCACCUAGGCGACGAUACAUAGCCGACCUGAGAGGGUGAUCGGCCACACUGGGACUGAGACACGGCCCAGACUCCUACGGGAGGCAGCAGUAGGGAAUCUUCGGCAAUGGGGGCAACCCUGACCGAGCAACGCCGCGUGAGUGAAGAAGGUUUUCGGAUCGUAAAGCUCGGUUGUAAGUCAAGAACGGGUGUGAGAGUGGAAAGUUCACACUGUGACGGUAGCUUACCAGAAAGGGACGGCUAACUACGUG
This 497-nucleotide ribosomal RNA is filed under the name uncultured bacterium. Its description in RNAcentral is "partial 16S ribosomal RNA". It matches the Rfam family "Bacterial small subunit ribosomal RNA", at positions 28 to 507 of the family's 1533-position model. The record is from RNAcentral.